ACCUACGGGCGGCAGCAGUGAGGAAUAUUGGUCAAUGGGCGGAAGCCUGAACCAGCCAAGUCGCGUGAGGGAAUAAGGCCCUACGGGUCGUAAACCUCUUUUGCCGGGGAGCAAGGGCGGGGACGUGUCCCGGCCCGGAGAGUACCCGGAGAAAAAGCAUCGGCUAACUCCGUGCCAGCAGCCGCGGUAAUACGGAGGAUGCGAGCGUUAUCCGGAUUUAUUGGGUUUAAAGGGUGAGUAGGCGGGCUUUUAAGUCAGCGGUAAAAAUUCGGGGCACAACCCCGUACGGCGGU
RNAcentral lists this ribosomal RNA (293 nucleotides) under uncultured bacterium. Its description in RNAcentral is "partial 16S ribosomal RNA". It matches the Rfam family "Bacterial small subunit ribosomal RNA", at positions 337 to 627 of the family's 1533-position model. The record is from RNAcentral.